This 444-nucleotide ribosomal RNA is filed under the name uncultured bacterium. RNAcentral describes it as "partial 16S ribosomal RNA". It matches the Rfam family "Bacterial small subunit ribosomal RNA", at positions 361 to 795 of the family's 1533-position model. The record is from RNAcentral.
AUAUUGGACACUGUUCUCCCCCCUGCUCCCUCCCUUCCGCGUGUGUGAAGAAGGCCUGCGGGUUGUAAAGCACUUUCGGUUGGGAGGACUGCUUCUAGCACUAAUAUUGUUGGAAGUUGACGUUACCUUCAGAAGAAGCACCGGCUAACUCCGUGCCAGCAGCCGCGGUAAUACGGAGGGUGCGAAGCGUUAAUCGGAAUUACUGGGCGUAAAGCGCGCGUAGGCGGCUAGAUCAGUCGGGUGUGAAAGCCCCGGGCUUAACCUGGGAACUGCAUCCGAUACUGUCUAGCUUGAGUACAGGAGAGGAGAGUGGAAUUCCACAUGUAGCGGUGAAAUGCGUAGAUAUGUGGAGGAACACCAAUGGCGAAGGCAGCUCUCUGGCCUGAUACUGACGCUGAGGUGCGAAAGCGUGGGGAGCAAACAGGAUUAGAUACCCCGGUAGUC